CCCCAGUAAACGGCGGCCGUAACUAUAACGGUCCUAAGGUAGCGAAAUUCCUUGUCGGGUAAGUUCCGACCCGCACGAAAGGCGUAACGAUUUGGGCACUGUCUCAACGAGAGACUCGGUGAAAUCAUAGUACCGGUGAAGAUGCCGGUUACCCGCGACAGGACGGAAAGACCCCGUGGAGCUUUACUGUAGCCUGAUAUUGAAAUUCGGUACAGUUUGUACAGGAUAGGUAGGAGCCUUAGAAGCGUGAGCGCUAGCUUACGUGGAGGCAUUGGUGGGAUACUACCCUAAUUGUAUUGGAUUUCUAACCCGCAGCACUUAUCGUGCUGGGAGACAGUGUCAGGCGGGCAGUUUGACUGGGGCGGUCGCCUCCUAAAGAGUAACGGAGGCGCUCAAAGGUUCCCUCAGAAUGGUUGGAAAUCAUUCAUAGAGUGUAAAGGCAUAAGGGAGCUUGACUGCGAGACCUACAAGUCGAGCAGGGUCGAAAG
RNAcentral lists this ribosomal RNA (488 nucleotides) under Staphylococcus pseudintermedius. RNAcentral's name for it is "partial 23S ribosomal RNA". It matches the Rfam family "Bacterial large subunit ribosomal RNA", at positions 1918 to 2405 of the family's 2925-position model. The record is from RNAcentral. Lineage: Bacteria; Bacillati; Bacillota; Bacilli; Caryophanales; Staphylococcaceae.